GUGCAUGAUCGAUAUCAGAUGCCAUGAUGGUGCAAGAAGUUGUCACAGGUGAGGCGCUGCGUGUGUUAGGGCGCAACCCCUUCGAGGGAAUCACCACGAAAACGCGUCUGCGGCAGCUGCUGCAGACGCACCAAGGCAGAGACAAACUGUUCAAAGUAGCACAGUACUUGCUACGCAUCCGGCUGUGGUGGAAUUCCGUUGACUUCAACGUGAACUACGUGCCAGGUGAGAAUUUUUCCCGAAUGGAAAAGAAUCUGAUGACCAUCGUAAAUAGUCGACGCAUGUUCCGCCUUGGCCGUUUCUUUGGCGAGUUUGUUCGCAUGCGCGUAACGCUCAUCAAGGCAUCGGAGCUGGUAUACAUUCCGGUGAACGGUGGCCAGUGGGUGGCGCUAUUCAUUCAAUGCCAGAUGCUGCUAGAUAUGCUUGCGAGGGGUUUGCUAUUCGUGAAGUCCUUGCUGGAGGACGUCGCCUUUCUCGUUCAGAAGGGCUUCUUCCACAGCAACGUAGCUGGCCGUCUCAUCUACGUGGCAACGCGGUGCGGACUUCCAGUUCUCACAAUUGACUUGUUUCUGAAUACGCUGCGUCUUUACCAAGGCAUUUUAGACGCGUCCGCCACCGAGUCCUCGAAUGAAAUCAUGUUCUCAAAAGACUCCUUCUCGCUUCUGUCCAAGUAUGACCGCGUAGAUAAGCUGCGCCGCAAGUUGGCGUCCACGACCGAUGAGGAGAAGCUGAAGGAGGUAAUCAAAGACCAGCAGCGGACGGCGAACGGCACCAACGAGAACGUCGUAUACGUGGAAUCGUAUGCUCAGCUGUUGUGGACCGACUUCGAGCUGCACUGGAUCUGCGUAACGGAGGCGAAACUGCUGCUGGACAUCUUUGUUGCUCUCUCAGGCCUGAGAGGAUGGAAACUGCAGGGGUCUGUGAGUACCGCGGGUUUGUUGUCUGGGCUGUGCUCCAUCUACCGCGUGUGGACGUACGGCCGCUAGCCCUCGCCUAAGCCUUCGCCCUCCCUCCCGUGCUGUGUGAUGCAUGGCUCUUCCACCUCGUUGUCGUAACGCCAGUUGAAAAAUGAUGGCUGACCUAUACACUUUUGCCGCCUAGUCCACCUAUGCUUCCCUGCGCUCUUCAGUUUUUCGCCUUUUCACUGGGACGAAGAUUCGCGUCCUCCUCCUCGUUUCCCUGUUGCUUGAUUGUGCUUGAGUCUUCUUUGCUUG
RNAcentral lists this unclassified non-coding RNA (1214 nucleotides) under Leishmania donovani. Its description in RNAcentral is "gene:LdHU3.09.0070(CDS-product:Peroxisomal_biogen esis_factor_11_(PEX11)_putative)". The record is from RNAcentral. Lineage: Eukaryota; Euglenozoa; Kinetoplastea; Trypanosomatida; Trypanosomatidae.